GGGUGCGUAACGCGUAUGCAACCUACCUUUAACAGGGGCAUAACACUGAGAAAUUGGUACUAAUUCCCCAUAACAUUCGAGAAGGCAUCUUCUUGGGUUAAAAACUCCGGUGGUUAAAGAUGGGCAUGCGUUGUAUUAGCUAGUUGGUGAGGUAACGGCUCACCAAGGCAACGAUACAUAGGGGGACUGAGAGGUUAACCCCCCACAUUGGUACUGAGACACGGACCAAACUCC
RNAcentral lists this ribosomal RNA (234 nucleotides) under uncultured Alistipes sp. Its description in RNAcentral is "partial 16S ribosomal RNA". It matches the Rfam family "Bacterial small subunit ribosomal RNA", at positions 104 to 339 of the family's 1533-position model. Lineage: Bacteria; Pseudomonadati; Bacteroidota; Bacteroidia; Bacteroidales; Rikenellaceae. The record is from RNAcentral.